Molecule: ribosomal RNA, 450 nt
Filed under: uncultured bacterium
Lineage: Bacteria
Description: partial 16S ribosomal RNA
Rfam family: Bacterial small subunit ribosomal RNA
Source: RNAcentral
GUGGGGAAUAUUGGACAAUGGGCGAAAGCCUGAUCCAGCCAUGCCGCGUGUGUGAAGAAGGUCUUCGGAUUGUAAAGCACUUUAAGUUGGGAGGAAGGGCAGUAAGUUAAUACCUUGCUGUUUUGACGUUACCGACAGAAUAAGCACCGGCUAACUUCGUGCCAGCAGCCGCGGUAAUACGAAGGGUGCAAGCGUUAAUCGGAAUUACUGGGCGUAAAGCGCGCGUAGGUGGUUUUGUAAGUUGGAGGUGAAAACCCCGGGCUCAACCUGGGAACUGCGUCCAAAACUGCAUGACGAGAGGACGGUAGAGGGUAGUGGAAUUUCCUGUGUAGCGGUGAAAUGCGUAGAUAUAGGAAGGAACACCAGUGGCGAAGGCGACUACCUGGACUGAUACUGACACUGAGGUGCGAAAGCGUGGGGAGCAAACAGGAUUAGAAACCCUGGUAGUCC